Molecule: unclassified non-coding RNA, 1636 nt
Filed under: Hevea brasiliensis (rubber tree)
Lineage: Eukaryota; Viridiplantae; Streptophyta; Magnoliopsida; Malpighiales; Euphorbiaceae
Source: RNAcentral
GAAUCGAAACAACAAAGGACUGACUGAAUCUCAAAGUAAAGUAAAAGUAAAUCAAAUAAUCCUGUUUUCUGAGUAACAUUCUCGAGAAGAAACAUACAAAGAAAAAGAAUGCCCCUCUCUGUAUCUCCAUAUAGUAAUUCUACUUGGUGUAAACUGUACCCUGAACCCCCCAAAAUAAUACAACAGACAACUCUAGACUCCGAGACCAACAAUUUCCAGAGCAUAGGCACUGAAGAUCCAUUCCACAAAAUUGGAUCCGCCAGGCAGUAGGAAGAAGGAAAGAAAAUUAAUAAGCUAAGGAGAAGCAUGCCCUCAUAAAUUUGAUAAUUUCUUGGUAAACCAAUCUGAAAGACGCUUCAUUUUCAGUGAAAGCUCCCUGUUUUUGGCAAAGUAAGCCUCACCAUUUGCUAUCAUCACAGAGAAAUCAUGCUUCAUUGCUUUCAAGCUUCUAUAAUAGUUGUUCUCUAACCUUAACCGGAUUAUUUCAGGUGAUAGAGGAACAGGGAACCUAUUCAUGAAGUCCAGUUUCACAGCAACUUGUUUCAAUUUUAGAAUCCCAAAGUUAUCCUGAUUUCUGCUUGCUGACUGCAAUAGUUCAGUGACAGAUGACAACACUCUAUUUUUGCUUUCCAAGUCAAGUUGAGAUUGCUCCCAUGAACUAUCUACAUCAUGCAGUUCCCAGGGACUCUGAGGAUGGGGUUCUACUUCACCUUCGUAUAGGAUACCACAUCUUUCCCAUGGACUGUCAGGAAACUGGUCAGACUUGGCUUUCACUGAAACUACCUCACCUACCCACCACUUACCACCUUGCUCACUCUCAUCCUUCCACCAAACCAGACACUUAUCUCCAUAUGACCAAUUUCUCUCCAUUGCACUCUCAUACCUUGAUCUCUCAAUUAGAAAGUCAGGGAAGUUGACUAGUUCAGGCAGUGUAAGCUUAAACUUCUGUCCAGAGACGGGGGAUGAGGAAUCUAUGAAUUGAAGUGUAACUUUACAGCAGCUCUCACCAGAGCCAGGAAGAGUUGCAUAUGAAAGAUGUUUUACUAAGCAAAUUUCGACAGCUUGGACUGCAGCUGCAUUCUUUGUCCAAGGACCACGCUCUGAUGAAUCACUAUAUUCUAUAUAUUCUUGAUGCCCCUGUCGGAAGUACACUACUUCAUCACCUAGCUGAGGAAUGUAGCGGUAACCCUCUUCACGUUCUGAUAAUAGCAACCAAUUCAGUUUUUUCACUGCCUCAUUCAAGCUCAUUCCAGAUGAAAAAACAUUUUCAUCCCUGGAAGAACCUUCUUUAGCGUUUCUAGAUGACCGGCACUUGAACACAUCAGUUGAAGUCCAUCCUAGUGGCGGAGAACCAGUAGCCUUCUUGGUUAGCUUUUCUGUGCUUCUUGAUGAACCUACAGCUACAUGGCUCUCUCUUAUUUUUGGGUCAUCUUUCCCGAUUGCUGCGUCUCUUGACAUUGCAGUAAAUCUUAAGGAUCUCUUUCUACGAGCUGCAUCAGUCGCGGCAUGAGGGAAUUCAGAACCUGUUUCGUUAUGAUCAUUAGAAGCAUUAGAAGCACUUCCACAAAUAUCAUGACUGCUACAUAAGCCGCUUCUAGAUCCAUGAGACUUGUUUCUGCCAACAGAAUCAUCCAUC